UAUAGAGGUCUCAAGCGUUGUUCGGAUUCAUUGGGCGUAAAGGGUGCGUAGGCGGCGCGGUAAGUCGGGUGUGAAAUCUCGGAGCUUAACUCCGAAACUGCAUUCGAUACUGCCGUGCUUGAGGACUGGAGAGGAGACUGGAAUUUACGGUGUAGCGGUGAAAUGCGUAGAUAUCGUAAGGAAGACCAGUGGCGAAGGCGGGUCUCUGGACAGUUCCUGACGCUGAGGCACGAAGGCCAGGGGAGCGAACGGG
Molecule: ribosomal RNA, 253 nt
Filed under: uncultured bacterium
Lineage: Bacteria
Description: partial 16S ribosomal RNA
Rfam family: Bacterial small subunit ribosomal RNA
Source: RNAcentral